AAGGACGUCAGGAUUUGUGGUUAAAGAAAUAAUCACUCGAGUACAUUCAUCACAUAGUAAAUCAUCUUUUGCUCAAUUUAUCGCAAAUCACAUGGCAGUACUUUUAUGAAGUCCCGCCUCCGCCUGCAAAAGUGAGUGACAGAACACAGCAGUUCCGUUUCUGCUCCCAACCGAGCUCAUCGAACGCAUCAUUUUAAAACCUGAUUUGUUCUUCGGAACGAAACGUUCGCAAACGAAACAACACAAAGGACGAACGAGAGCUGGCUCAUUUGCCAAAGUGAGCAGGCUGUGAGCCGGAAGUGGCAUGACACAAACGCGAAGAGACAGACCUUAUGCAGAAACCAAAAAUGCGGUAGGCUCAAGAGAGACGAGAGAACGGAUGACAUUGAAAAUCUUCAUUCUGAGUGGCAGGAGCAAGAACCCCCUCACAUAAAAAAGGAGGAUGAUGAUGAAGAAAUCAACGAGAUCAAAGAGGAGGAGAAGUUACAGUCUCCUCACAUUCAAAAACGGGUGAACGAAAAGCACUUCCUCAUCAUGGAGGAAAAGGACGAAGAGGCUAUCACAAAUUUGCCUGGGACUGUUGUCAUUUUGACAAAUGAAGGACAAUACGUGACAAAUGAAAGUAAUAGAGACCACAGUGGAGGAUUACGACCAGACGUCCCUUUACCUCCACAGUCAGAUAGUGAUGACACGUCACACUCUUCUGACUAUGAUGAUGAUGAUGAAGAGUCUGAAAGGCAUCAAGCAAAUUACAUUGACAAUGGGAGAAGUUCUCAGUGUAGGAAAGCUAUUGUUUAUCAAAACGAAUUGAUAAACCCUGUGAGAACACAUUGUGGAGAGAAGCCUUUUGCCUGUUUCAUUUGUGGGAAAGGGUUCAACAAGAAGACAUCCUUAAAAACACACAACAGAAAACACACUGGUGAAAAACCUUUUUACUGCUCAAUUUGCGGUCAAAGAUUCACUCAAAAGGUACAUUUGACAUCACAUAUAAGAAGACACAAUGGUGAGAGACCUUUUGCCUACUCACUUUGUGGACAAACAUUCUCUAACAGUGGGGAUUUGAAAAGACACGUGAGAACACAUUCUGGAGAGAAACCUUUUGCCUGCUCAAUAUGCGGUAAACGAUUGUCUCGAAAGAGACAAUUGACCCUUCCGUACAGGGCACUUAACCACGCCACCUGAAGUGACGUCACGCCACGUGCGCCUAACGUCAGUCAAACAAUUAGCAAAAAGGGCGGCGCAUCAAGAAAAGAAUAGAGCGAAACUGUCCGAUUUACCGGCUGAUUUCUCACUCGCAUUCUUAGCUAGCAGUGAAAUAUCGUUGAAAAGCAGACAGCAGGGCUUCAAGUAUUUCAGCGAGGGGUAUUUCAAUGGUAUUUACAUGCAUAUCGACGGAGAAACCAUUGAUAUUAGCUCGAGAUCUUUCCAGAGUCAGAGGAAGACCGAGAAGCCACAUAAUAUAAUAUAUUAUAACCCAAAGACGAAUUCGUCAUUGACAGUUUCCUAUUUUCGUGUUACAUAUCACACUUGUGUGCAGAAUCUGUAUAUGUAUCUGUAUAGCCGUUUGUGAACCGCCGUAUGAAGGAAAAGAAGGCGAGGGUUGAUUUACGAGUUGUUUCUCUCGUUUUCUUUGUAUAACGUCACGCGCUCCCCUAUGGAAUUAUUCUUGAAUUAGUGCCGAACCUACGUAAGUCCCGACAUAGUACGAUAAUCACUACUUUAGUGUCCUCAAACAUCCUUCCUUCAGUCUUGGUGUCUCGGUACACGUCGAAGGCUUUUAGGACUGCUAGUCCGGUUUAUCUUAGCUAAUUAGCCGUGAACAAAGGGACACGUUUGUGCAGUCAGAUCAUCGCAAAAUAUCGCUCAACAUAGAUCAAGUGUGUCAAUCAUUCACACUUAGCUAUGUUAUGCAAGCAAAGAACUGCUCAUUCAUUUAUAUGAGAAGUAUUGAAAAUCAAAUAUAGGGCUUACCUUCGUGCAAACACAGUCCGGUUUACCGUAGCCGCAAACAAAGGGACACGUUUGUGCAGUCAGAUAAUCGCAAAAUAUCGCUCAACACAGAUCAAGUGUGUCAAUCAUUCACACGUAGCUAUGUUAUGCAAGCGAAGAACUGCUAAUUCAUUUAUAUGAGAAAUGUAUUGAAAAUCAAAUAUAGGACUUACCUUCAUGCAAACAUAUCUGUUCCGGUUGAUGGAUUCAGUUGAUCAUGCGGUCUUCCACAAAGUUUGAUCCAUUGAAGAUAUUUUUCGUACUCGGUCUUCGGUUUUGGAAAGGGUACGAAUUGAACUCCACCAUCUAGCCUAUCAGGAUACUUGUCGUCACUAUUACAAAGGCCGUGACUACACCUCUUAACCAUAUCUAUUGUUAAGGAUCCCUAAGACGUGAUAAAACGCAAACAAAAGCUCUACUGAACCAUGCGACUUUCUCUGAGGUUAUGGCAGACGACAACAAGGGGCGUGGUUUAGGCACAUCUCUGGCCUCUGAUUGGUCAAUUUCUCCGCAAUUUCUACGGAGGGGUCAAUUGCACGUUCCCCAAGCGCAUCUGAGGAUCAUUUUCUUUGUAACAUUAACUUUUCCAAGCGCACGCUACUGACAACCAGUAUUGCUUGUGGGACAACAUGGCGGCAGGGGUGUGUCAAGCCAGGGGUUAAGACAAUGUGGCUAUCUGAUUGGCUAUUAUUGUAUGAGUGAUUGACAGGUCGGAAAGGUCCAUUGAUUGAAAUCGACUGAGGAAACUUUGACACUCUCGUGUAAGAUUGAAAAUUGCACAUCUAUGCCUGAAUAAAAUUGACAUGCAUUUUUUUUAUUUAAUGUAUUACAUUUGUAUGUGACAUUGUACAGUUUCUCAUCUCUGUAUUCGCUUUAUUUGG
Syngnathoides biaculeatus (alligator pipefish) is the source of this 2870-nucleotide RNA transcript. It is a transcript of the gene named oocyte zinc finger protein XlCOF8.4-like, with no coding region annotated. NCBI's taxonomy places the organism in Eukaryota, Metazoa, Chordata, Actinopteri, Syngnathiformes, Syngnathidae. The transcript has 2 exons. The record is from RefSeq and is a predicted model, not a curated record.